Molecule: unclassified non-coding RNA, 300 nt
Organism: Pongo abelii (Sumatran orangutan)
Lineage: Eukaryota; Metazoa; Chordata; Mammalia; Primates; Hominidae
Rfam family: Metazoan signal recognition particle RNA
About the family: The signal recognition particle (SRP) is a universally conserved ribonucleoprotein. It is involved in the co-translational targeting of proteins to membranes. The eukaryotic SRP consists of a 300-nucleotide 7S RNA and six proteins: SRPs 72, 68, 54, 19, 14, and 9.
Source: Ensembl
GCCAAGUGCACUGGUGCGUACCUAUAGUCCCAGCUACUCAAGAGGCUGAGACAGGAGGAUCGCUCGAGCCCAGGAAUUCUGGGCUAUAGUGCAACAUGCCGAUCGGGUGUCCGCACUAAGUGCGGCAUCGAUAUGGUGACCUCCUGGGAGUGUGGGACCAUCAGGUUGCCUAAGGAGGGGUGAACUGGCCCAGAUCAGAUAUGGAACAGGUAAAAACUCACGUGCUGAUCAGGAGUGGGAUUGCAUCUGUGAAUAGUCACUGCACUCCAGCCUGGGCAACAUAGAGAGAUCCUGCCUCUU